RNAcentral lists this transfer RNA (74 nucleotides) under Bakuella subtropica. RNAcentral's name for it is "tRNA-Ser". Lineage: Eukaryota; Ciliophora; Spirotrichea; Urostylida; Bakuellidae. The record is from RNAcentral.
CCCCAUUUACGCUUUUACAAGAUUUUGCGACUGUUGUUGAAAAAUAGUUCCAAUUGAAUUGAAUUGUUUUGUGA